AGCAGAGAUCCCCUUAUGCAUUCUUCUCCUUGAUGAGAAUACAGGAAACUCUGUCCUUUAAUUAAACUUUAUUUGAUUUGGUCAUUGACAAUUAUAAUGUGGGGUCUCAUAGUGGUGACUUCUCAGUUGGACCCUUCGACCAUUGACCACUCCAAGGAUGUCAGUGAAAAGGCACAAUCAACAAAUGGCAGGUACAGAAACUGAAUGUGAAAAUAUCAUUUUCACAUUACAGUCCCCAAGGCAGAGGUUACAUUUGCGUCCACUCGAUAUAUACUUGUCAAACACGAGGGGGCGAUAUUGAUUACAGGGUGUAACCUAGCUGUAUUUUCAGACGACAGAACAAAAUAUGUAGUUAUUGAGCAUUUUGGCUUAAAUGACGUAGCAUCGCUAAUAAAUAUCUGCCCUUAAAUUCGAAUAUCAAACCACAUCGGGCCUACUGCGAUGCAUACCCCCCCGCCCCACGGCUGCGACGUUGCACUGUUGUCCCGCCCUUCUUUUUCUUCGAGACUAUUUCAAAGUAAUAAUGUCGAAACAAAAAUGCAAUGGCUUUCGAUCGUCAAACAGAAACGCCAGUGUGUGUACCAGUCAAAUUUGGACGAUUUUUCGAGGAAAUCUGUUUCACGGCAACCUAUUUUUUAUCUGAGGCGUUUGAAAGAUGGGUCCGUAUCAGAGCGAUGAUCUUCUUUCACUGAAUCGCCAGGACAAACUGCAGCAAUCCACAUUGUAACAAUGGUUAAUUUUAAACCUGAGGAUGGGAUGUCGACGUGUUACAUGGAGGAAAGCACCGGACAUGAUUUUACCCCUGGACUAUAAAUACGAUCAACGUGAGUUUUGCAAAAUACUCUCAUAAUGGUACGUAAUGCAUAUUUGCAUAGGCCUAUACAAAUUAGCCUCAAUCUGAUGCACAACAAAGCAAAUCGGGUUAUUUUAGCGACCUGGCAGAAGCCAUGCUUAUGCUUUGGUUAAAUAACAAAGUAUAAGCAAAAUAAAACAGUUUGUGAAAGGUUUUCAAAAUACUGUAAAAUGGUUGAAAGUCCACCACAGUAGUAGGAAAUAUGGGCUACUUACUCUGCCCCCGCUGUGCUAGGCCUUUCGAAUGUUUUAGAUGUUUUUUAGAUGUUUUUGAUUUAGUAAAGUAAAUAUAGGGUUAGGGCUAUUUCCUCUAUUAAAAAAUAUAGAUCAAGUAAAUCAUCUCACUUUUAUAAGUGGUAGAGUCCACACAAUAACAGUUAUCAAAUGAUAUUGGUCCAUGAACUGGCAGUUAUGGCAAUGUCUGCUUUUGAAAUGUUAACCAAAAGGAUUCGUUAACUCAUACAUUCUUUAUUUAAUUAAUUCGUUAUAGGCUAUGGCCUGUUAUUUCGAAGCAUUAAUUGCGCAAAGUAGUCCACUGGUAAUAUCCUCUAUCAAAAUACAUAAAUAAUAGUCCUAGUAUUUAGUUCAUGCUUCAGAUUCAAGCAUGAACAAGAAAAUGAUUGUAACCAUAUUUCAUCAUAUAUCGAUAGGAUCUCAUAUUGAGUUUAACAAGAAUAUUAUUGAAUAAUGAAGUCCAACCUGCAAUAGGCCCACAAAAAUUGGGCCUAUUGCAGAAAAUACAUUUUUGAGAGGCUAGUAUAGUGAGA
Gadus morhua (Atlantic cod) is the source of this 1619-nucleotide long non-coding RNA. RefSeq lists it as uncharacterized. NCBI's taxonomy places the organism in Eukaryota, Metazoa, Chordata, Actinopteri, Gadiformes, Gadidae. The transcript has 2 exons. The record is from RefSeq and is a predicted model, not a curated record.